RNA transcript from Brachypodium distachyon (stiff brome), 2268 nucleotides. It is a transcript of the gene named clathrin interactor EPSIN 1-like, with no coding region annotated. Lineage: Eukaryota; Viridiplantae; Streptophyta; Magnoliopsida; Poales; Poaceae. The record is from RefSeq and is a predicted model, not a curated record. The transcript has 10 exons.
UCCUGAUGGGGACACGGGCGCGUCAUCUAGCCGGUCCGUCCGCUGACUGCCGCAAACGGCGACGAGAAGAGAAGUGACUGCGCGCUAUUAUUCCGCGGCGCUCCUCUCCAGACUCCGUGCACGCGCGCUCCAAGCCCCCCCCGCUUCGUCGUCGGUCUGCGCAUCCUCAUCCACCGAACCCUAGCGGCUAGCGCCUAGCGGUACCGCAGAACGGAGGAGAACUCCACCCAUUGCAAGUCCGCUUCAGUUCCGCUCCUCCCGCUUCUUAUCCUAGCCAGUAGCCAUGGAUGAAAUCAUGAAGGUGUUCGAUCAUACCGUCCGGGAGAUAAAGAGAGAGGUCAAUCUCAAGGUGCUCAAGGUGCCAGAAAUCGAGCAGAAGGUUCUUGACGCGACCAGCGAUGAGCCGUGGGGGCCUCACGGUUCCGACUUGGCGGACAUCGCCCGUGCCACCAACAAAUUUGGCGAAUGUGAAAUAAUCAUGAAAGUAUUGUUGCAACGGCUGGGGGCCACCGAUGUGGAUUGGCGUCACCUGUAUAAGACACUGGCUGUUAUUGAGUAUCUUCUUGCUAAUGGCACUCAGCGCUCAGUCGGUGAAAUUAUUGACAACAGCUCAGGAAUCGCGGAACUUACAAGAUUCAAAUUUGUGGAGCCUAACGGAAAAGAUGUUGGGCUCAACGUGCGCAAAAAGGCUGAAACUGUUCUAGCAAUUGUUGAUGACAGGCUGAAACUUCAACAAGUCAGGGAGAAGGCUGCUGCUACAAGGGACAAGUAUUUGGGUUUAUCGUCAACUGGAUUAACGUACAAAUCAAGCGCAGCAGCAUUUGGCAAUGGCAGCUACUCCUCUGGUCGUCCCUAUGGGAGCACAGGCGGCUCAAGAGAAUCUGCUUCAUUCAAGGACAGCUAUACCAAAACAGAAUGGAGCAAGAGCCCUAAAGACCUAGUGUCAAGGUACAGCAGCACUACGCAAAGGUCAAAAGAAACUACAAACAGCGCAAAUAGCUAUAAAUCCAUAAAGAGAGGCUCCAAAUCAUCUUUGAGUGCCACAUCUGGAGUUCCAAGUUCACAGAAAGGGGAAAACGAAGAUGAUGGUUACGACUUCAACCCACGAGGAUCUUCUGCAUCCGAUGGAUUAGCUAACGUGAGCUCUAAUCAUGUCGAUCUCUUUGGUCCAAGCUUAAUGGGCAACCUUCUUGACACUGCUGCUGAGCCGCAAGUUGAUUUAUUUGCGGACGCAGAUUUCCAGUCAGUCAAUACUUCAUUGGAGGUGUCAACUGGUUCUCACGCUCAGGACAACAUCGAUCUAUUUGCUGGCAGAUCGUCUUUUGGUGGCUCAGUGACUUCAGAGCAUAAUUUGUCUUCCCCUGCACAUCCUUUGGCUUCUUCUCUUAAUUCCUUCCAGCCAUCUUUUGCCACAUCAAUUCCUUCAGACAGAGAGUUCACUGCGCGUGACACUCCAAGCAAACCUUCGGAAAGAAAGCCUCCCACACCUUAACAUUUAAGCAACACAGCUUUCGAGCCGUUCGCUGCAAUUGCACUGAAGAAUUUUGAUGGGUCGGACUCUUUUGGUGCAUUUUCUUCAAGUACAGGCUCAUCUGUUACUGAAUUGACACAUGAUUCUGCUGGAGGCAACAAAAAUUCUGAUCGUACUCCUUUGGAGGAGCUGAAUCUUGGUGCCUUCACUUUACGGAAGGAAUCACCCACAACAGCUGCCACCGAAUCCAUGAACAAGUCACCCACAGAGCAUGAGCAGGCUUCUAUGCCAGCAUCAAGACCGGUUACGAGGAAAGAGACCUUUCAGAUCAAAUCAGGCAUAUGGGCUCACUUUUCUAGCCGUGGGUUGAUUGAUUUGAGUAUAACUGCCCCAAAGAAGGUCGAUCUUUCAGAUGCCGGGGUUGUUGGGCGUCUGAGCAACAGGUCGGAGGCGGGGGCGACAAUGGGCAUCGGUCCUGAUUUUCCAUCUUCGGCAGGACCAACCGGUGGAGGGGGCUAUUUCCAGCAGCGGCAAUCUGGAAACUUUUAAAGCGAUCCUUAGUCAGGGUUUUGGCAGUGGCCAUGCUGAUAAAAACACCCAUGGUCUCUGAUCUGUUGGGGCAUGUGCAACCUCGUACCUGCACAUGUAGGUGUAGAUGUAUUGCAGAACUAUCAUACUUGUCCUAGAGGCCCCAUGAUUUUGUAUGUGUAUUACAAAGUAAACAUAGUUUGUGUGCGUGAGUAAAUAAAACUGAUGCGGUGAUGAGAACGGUGCAAAAGUCUGCAGAAUAACCAAAA